This 77-nucleotide transfer RNA is filed under the name Marmota monax (woodchuck). Its description in RNAcentral is "tRNA.Thr". The record is from RNAcentral. Lineage: Eukaryota; Metazoa; Chordata; Mammalia; Rodentia; Sciuridae.
CCCUGAGAGCAUAGCUCAGUGGUAGAGCACUUAACUAGUAUGGAUUAAGAUCCUGGGUUCAGUCCCCAGCACAGGAA